GUAUGAUUUAGGAACAUAGUACCGGGUAUGAUUUAGGAACAUAGUACUGGGUAUGAUUUAGGAACAUAGAACCGGGUAUGAUUGGUAUGAUUUAGGAACAUAGUACCGGGUAUGAUUUAGAAACAUAGUACCGGGUAUGAUUUAGGAACAGAGUACCGGGUAUGAUUUAGGAACAUAGUACUGGGUAUGAUUUAGGAACAUAAUACCGGGUAUGAUUUAGGAACAUAGUACUGGGUAUGAUUUAGGAACAUAAUACUGGGUAUGAUUUUGGAACAUAAUUCCGGGUAUGAUUUAGGAACAUAAUUCCGGGUAUGAUUUAGGAACAUAAUACCAGGUAUGAUUUUGGAACAUAAUUCCGGGUAUGAUUUAGGAACAUAGUACGGGGUAUGAUUUAGGAACAUAGUACGGGGUAUGAUUUAGGAACAUAGUACGGGGUAUGAUUUAGGAACAUAUAGUACUGGGUAUGAUUUAGGAACAUAGUACCGGGUAUGAUUUAGGAACAUAGUACUGGGUACGAUUUAGGAACAUAAUACCAGGUAUGAUUUAGGAACAUAGUACUGGGUAUGAUUUAGGAACAUAAUACCAGGUAUGAUUUAGGAACAUAAUACCAGGUAUGAUUUUGGAACAUAAUACUGGGUAUGAUUUAGGAACAUAGUACCGGGUAUGAUUUAGGAACAUAGUACUGGGUAUGAUUUAGGAACAUAAUACUGGGUAUGAUUUUGGAAUUUAAUACCAGGUGGUACUGGGUAUGAUUAUGCCCCAUAUGGAUACAUUUGUGCUUCCAUUACCAAAAUUGAAAUGUGGCACUUAUUGGAAGCUGAAAGUCGUUGGUACAGUAUACAGAACAAAUUGAAUGUUAUAAUAUGUGGUCAUAUUUGUAUACAGUUCGAAGAGACCGGUUAUUAACAGGUUCCUGUAUUGUAUUGUAAUGUCCAAGUCAGUCCAGAAAUUUACCUGUAUAUAUGUUGUUAGAUUUUAAGCAAUGCAUUAUGGAUACAGAAUAAUGUCAUCAAAAAUAUUAUUUUGUAACAGUAAUAUUAAUAUGUUGAAUGGCAUUGUAAUGUUGUAUUAAUCUGAUCACAUAACAUUAUUUUGUUAACUCAAAGGAAUUUUAUUUUUCCAUUUGUCUGAUUUGUCAGUCCGUACUUUUCAGUUGAUACUUUUUGUACAAUUAAUAUUUUAAAACUGGAGGUACCCUUCAUUGAAAAUACAUUCUGUAUGCUGCAAUUAUCAGUUUAGUUUUAGUGCAGUUUACUACAAUACUGGUAAUAUCAGUAGUUAGCGGUGAUCAUUAUUUUACAUCUUGUUUGUCUGUAACAUUGAAUUGUGUGUUGUUCUAAAAUCAGGUGCCAUAACUCCCAUUAAGUUUUUGUAUUAGUUUAGUUAAGGAAGAUUUGAAUUUCGAUGUAACAAACCUUGAUCUGGAAGCUUACUAUGUUAGACUUUUACAGGGUACCAUACAGUAUAGCAGGUAGAAACAUUUCCAUUCUGAUAAUCGAUAAUCAUUUAAUUGAUUCCAUUCUGAUAAUCGAUAAUCAUUUAAUUGAUUCCAUUCUGAUAAUCGAUCAUCAGGUAAUCAAUUGAUUGAUGUAUGGAUUAUUCAUUAAAAAAAAUUAAAGAUAAAAUUUGAAUAUUUAAAGCUAUGUGUUUUAAUAAAAAAUAAAUUUUGAGUUCAGGCAUUUAGAAGCUUUAACAGUUAAUAAUGAAGGUUUUCUUGUUUAUAAGUUGAAUAUCACAUUAUAAUGGAUUAUAUUUGUUUGAUUAGUUUGAAAUAAGAAAAUGUUCUUUCGUUUCUAAAACUCACUGAUUAAUUGACUUUUCAAACGUGGCAUUAAUUAGUUGAUUGCAUUUUUUUUUUUUAUUAAUUUUCAAUUAUUUUUGAUAAUUGAGCCAUUACCAGUGACUUGUUGAUACAUUUGUCUUUAUCUGUAAAUCAUGAUUUUGUUUAUGGACUGUUGCUAGCUGAUCAAGGGUUUCUACAAAAUCUCAGUUGAUAAAAGCUUUUCAUGUAUUAAUGAAGCAUAAAUGCUGUGGUAGUUUAAAAAAUUUGCAAAUACAUGUAUCAAAUUUUAAAUAAGAAAAACAAAUUUUUACAAAUUCUGUUAUUGAACACUGGGAGUUUUGUAACACAAUAGAUGUUCUGUGUAAGGAAUACGGUGUGUUUGUUACAAAUUAUUCCACAGCUGGUAUUACUGCCCCUGGCACUUGUCCUGUUCUACAAAACUAGGUGGGAGUACCAAAACGAGAAAAGUACUAUUUCAUUUUUGAAAUAAGAUUAAUUUAUGUUUGUUUCUGAAAAAAAACUUAAAAUAUAGUGGUAUAUAAACGUUAGUAAAUAAAUGUUCUGGUCCUCAGAGUUUAUUGUUGACAUGUUUUACCCACUACAUGAUGAUAACAAUAGACCUCUAAGACAAUUGUCCUAUACCUACCUGAGGAAUGUACAAUGAUAUCAUGGCUAUUCUGAAAAAUUUACUGUGGGAAGUUAUACAGUACAAGACUUACCAUUGUACAACAUAUACCUUCAACACGUGCACCAUGACAGUAUAUAUAGCAUAAUAUUUUUUACUUUGCAAAUAGCUUACAAUGUUUGUUAACAAGCUAUUUGAUCAAAGUUUUCCUAGUGAGGGACUCUUUCAUAUAUAAAUAUUAUGUAACACAAUUUAAAGUUAUAAAUAAUGAGUAGUGACACUUCCUGUUAAACUGCCAUUACAUAAUCAAAAUUGAUGAGUAAUAGGAAGGGGGACACUUAAAAAAAUGAUGUAACGCACUCAGAAGUUAUAACUGAUGGACAGGGACACUUUCUGUUAAACUGUCAAUGCACGAUCAAAAGUUGUUAGAGUGAUAUAGCACAUGGAGGACUAGGUGUAAUAUAUACAGUGUGAUAACUCUAUUAUAGUUAUUAAAUGUUAAAGAUUCUUUGGUUGUAUUUUGAUGUAAUAUAGCCAUUGAUAUCAGUUUUUGUUUCAUAGCUUGCCAAAUGUUGAAACUUCUAAGUUAGCAUUGUAGAUGAAAGUUGGUUGGUAAGUUAAAUUUCCUUGAUUUUUGCAGGUCAAAAGUCAUCGUAAAAUGUUUUUAAGAUAAAAAGAUGACUAGCUUAUUAGUUAGUGUAGCUUUUUUUAUUCAAUGAAAAGACAGAGUUUUAGAAUAAAUGAUUGGUAAUUUGUACCUUCACACAUCUAAACACCAUAACGAAGGGGAGAUAACCUCUUGGACAUUUUAACACUGUCUUAUCACUGUUGGAGUUGAGUAUUGUAACUAAUGCUCAAUUAUUUUGUUUUUGUUUUAUUUUCUUAUUCAAUGUAGCAAUGUUUUAUGUAUAUAUGAUUGUUAUAUUUUGUUGACUUGCCUUACAUGGUUGUAGUGGAUCUCCUACAAUGUAGUAGCUGUAAUAUUAAAGUAUAUAUGCUCUAAACAAAAACCUUGUCUGUGACGCUAUAUUUAUAUUAUAAUUCGCUAUACAUUUAACAUUGAAGUAAAAUUAGACAAUUUGCAUUUUGUGCUGAUGUUAAUGUUCAUGAGGAAUUAAACCAUCGAUCAGGUUUUUAUAUUGAUUACAUACAGAAGACCGUUUGGUAUUGGGCCAUUCAUGUAUAUGUGGACGGUGCCUGUGUCACAUGGUAUUGGGCCAUUCAUGUAUAUGUGGACGGUGCCUGUGUCACAUGGUAUUGGGCCAUUCAUGUAUAUGUGGACGGUGCCUGUGUCACAUGGUAUUGGGCCAUUCAUGUAUAUGUGGACGGUGCCUGUGUCACAUGGUAUUGGGCCAUUCAUGUACAUGUGGACGGUGCCUGUGUCACAUGGUAUUGGGCCAUUCAUGUACAUGUGGACGGUGCCUGUGUCACAUGAUAUUGGGCCAUUCAUGUACAUGUGGACGGUGCCUGUGUCACAUGAUAUUGGGCCAUUCAUGUACAUGUGGACGGUGCCUGUGUCACAUGGUAUUGGGCCAUUCAUGUACAUGUGGACGGUGCCUGUGUCACAUGAUAUUGGGCCAUUCAUGUAUAUGUGGACGGUGCCUGUGUCACAUGAUAUUGGGCCAUUCAUGUAUAUGUGGACGGUGCCUGUGUCACAUGGUAUUGGGCCAUUCAUGUAUAUGUGGACGGUGCCUGUGUCACAUGGUAUUGGGCCAUUCAUGUAUAUGUGGACGGUGCCUGAGUCACAUGGUAUUGGGCCAUUCAUGUAUAUGUGGACGGUGCCUGUGUCACAUGGUAUUGGGCCAUUCAUGUAUAUGUGGACGGUGCCUGUGUCACAUGGUAUUGGGCCAUUCAUGUAUAUGUGGACGGUGCCUGUGUCACAUGAUAUUGGGCCAUUCAUGUAUAUGUGGACGGUGCCUGUGUCACAUGGUAUUGGGCCAUUCAUGUAUAUGUGGACGGUGCCUGUGUCACAUGAUAUUUUGGUGAGAUUAAAUCAUAUGAUGUACAAACAAAACCAGAACAUAUAUUGAUUUGUGAAGAUAUCUUAAUGGUUUAUAUAUAUAACCAAGUCUGAUCAUCAGUUGCAAUGACUUGUCUCAACCCAAAACUCAGAUCGAAUUACUCUCACAGACUAUAUUGACCGAAUUUACUAUGUUGUAAUGUAUUUAGUGUAUAAGAAUGUAUGUCUGAUGUAAUAUAUGCCAAGUAUUAUAAAUACAAACCCUCUAAAACACUGAA
Molecule: long non-coding RNA, 4646 nt
Organism: Pecten maximus
Lineage: Eukaryota; Metazoa; Mollusca; Bivalvia; Pectinida; Pectinidae
Exons: 2
Source: RefSeq, a predicted model, not a curated record